RNAcentral lists this ribosomal RNA (439 nucleotides) under uncultured soil bacterium. RNAcentral describes it as "bacterial SSU rRNA". It matches the Rfam family "Bacterial small subunit ribosomal RNA", at positions 26 to 468 of the family's 1533-position model. The record is from RNAcentral.
AGAUUGAACGCUGGCGGCAUGCCUUACACAUGCAAGUCGAACGGCAGCACGGGGGCAACCCUGGUGGCGAGUGGCGAACGGGUGAGUAACAUAUCGGAACGUGCCCUGGAGUGGGGGAUAACUAGUCGAAAGACUAGCUAAUACCGCAUACGAUCUACGGAUGAAAGUGGGGGAUCGCAAGACCUCAUGCUCGUGGAGCGGCCGAUAUCUGAUUAGCUAGUUGGUGGGUAAAGGCCUACCAAGGCAUCGAUCAGUAGCUGGUCUGAGAGGACGACCAGCCACACUGGGGCUGAGACACGGCCCAGACUCCUACGGGAGGCAGCAGGUGGGGAAUUUUGGACAAUGGGCGCAAGCCUGAUCCAGCAAUGCCGCGUGAGUGAAGAGGCCUUGGUGUAAGCUCUUUGUCAGGAAGAACGGUUCGUGUCUAAUAGUCUAGGAG